Molecule: non-coding RNA, 93 nt
Filed under: Eggerthella sp. YY7918
Lineage: Bacteria; Bacillati; Actinomycetota; Coriobacteriia; Eggerthellales; Eggerthellaceae
Also listed under: 1 other name
Description: SAM riboswitch aptamer (S box leader)
Rfam family: SAM riboswitch aptamer (S box leader)
About the family: The SAM riboswitch is found upstream of a number of genes which code for proteins involved in methionine or cysteine biosynthesis in Gram-positive bacteria.
Source: Rfam by way of RNAcentral
GUUUUAUCGAGAGCCGGGGAAGAGAGUUGGCUCGAAGAUCCCGGCACCAACCUGGCCGAUGAGCCAAGGUGGUCCUGCCGACAUCGAUGAAGG